This 136-nucleotide ribosomal RNA is filed under the name uncultured bacterium. RNAcentral's name for it is "partial 16S ribosomal RNA". It matches the Rfam family "Bacterial small subunit ribosomal RNA", at positions 355 to 508 of the family's 1533-position model. The record is from RNAcentral.
UGAGGAAUAUUGGACAAUGGGCGCAAGCCUGAUCCAGCCAUGCCGCGUGAGUGAUGAAGGCCUUAGGGUUGUAAAGCUCUUUCAGUGGGGACGAUAAUGACGGUACCCACAGAAGAAGCCCCGGCUAACUACGUGC